AAAGAAAUUUUCAAUUUAGUUGACGUUUACGGACAAACAUACAAACAUCAAACAUAUCAUCAACCCAACAAAAUAAAGAAGAUGACACUAAACUCUAUGCUUGUGUUGCUUUGAAGUUAAUUGGAGUUGCAGUUUGCUGAAUAAACACCAAUAGUCACUGUCACUUGCAAGAUCACCAGCGGUCAAUGAAGAACACUGCUGGGAUGAUCAUCUAUAUGCUGCUGAUGAUAAUUGCAUAUUCAGUCAUUU
RNAcentral lists this long non-coding RNA (249 nucleotides) under Hordeum vulgare. Its description in RNAcentral is "long non-coding RNA (HVUL_LNC011055)". The record is from RNAcentral. Lineage: Eukaryota; Viridiplantae; Streptophyta; Magnoliopsida; Poales; Poaceae.